AUAUUGGACAAUGGGCGAAAGCCUGAUCCGGCCAUGCCGCGUGUGUGAAGAAGGCCCUCGGGUCGUAAAGCACUUUAAGUUGGGAGGANNGGCUUACAGCGAAUACCUGUGAGUUUUGACGUUACCAACAGAAUAAGCACCGGCUAACUUCGUGCCAGCAGCCGCGGUAAUACGAAGGGUGCAAGCGUUAAUCGGAACUACUGGGCGUAAAGCGCGCGUAGGUGGCUUGAUAAGUUGGAUGUGAAAUCCCCGGGCCCAACCUGGGAACUGCAUCCAAAACUGUCUGGCUAGAGUGCGGUAGAGGGUAGUGGAAUUUCCAGUGUAGCGGUGAAAUGCGUAGAUAUUGGAAGGAACACCAGUAGCGAAGGCGACUACCAGGACUGACACUGACACUGAGGUGCGAAAGCGUGGGGAGCAAACAGG
Molecule: ribosomal RNA, 423 nt
Filed under: uncultured bacterium
Lineage: Bacteria
Description: bacterial SSU rRNA
Rfam family: Bacterial small subunit ribosomal RNA
Source: RNAcentral